AACGUUUUAACUUGUUUUCGAUUGCGUCCGGAAAUAAUUGCGAAAAAUUUUUAAAACUGACUACAAUUCCAAAGUCAGCGUUUUUUGUUCAUUUUAUGAAUGACUUCUUCCACACAGAAAAUAUGGAAGAAUAAUGUAAUCUUACGAAAUUCGAGUGGUCGGUUUUUACAUGCACGGACUGCCUCCUUAAACUCUAAGCGUGCAAAGCUUAAUGGGAGCACAAGUUUCAAGCUUAGUAAUCGAAUAUUGAAGCUAUUUGUGAAUGA
Non-coding RNA from Paramuricea clavata, 266 nucleotides. The record is from the annotation of a GenBank genome assembly. Lineage: Eukaryota; Metazoa; Cnidaria; Anthozoa; Malacalcyonacea; Plexauridae.